This 468-nucleotide ribosomal RNA is filed under the name uncultured bacterium. RNAcentral's name for it is "partial 16S ribosomal RNA". It matches the Rfam family "Bacterial small subunit ribosomal RNA", at positions 28 to 507 of the family's 1533-position model. The record is from RNAcentral.
GACGAACGCUGGCGGCGUGCUUAACACAUGCAAGUCGAACGGAAAGGCCCUGCUUUUGUGGGGUGCUCGAGUGGCGAACGGGUGAGUAACACGUGAGUAACCUGCCCUUGACUUUGGGAUAACUUCAGGAAACUGGGGCUAAUACCGGAUAGGAGCUCCUGCUGCAUGGUGGGGGUUGGAAAGUUUCGGCGGUUGGGGAUGGACUCGCGGCUUAUCAGCUUGUUGGUGGGGUAGUGGCUUACCAAGGCUUUGACGGGUAGCCGGCCUGAGAGGGUGACCGGCCACAUUGGGACUGAGAUACGGCCCAGACGCCUACGGGAGGCAGCAGUGGGGAAUAUUGCACAAUGGGCGGAAGCCUGAUGCAGCAACGCCGCGUGCGGGAUGACGGCCUUCGGGUUGUAAACCGCUUUCGCCUGUGGCGAAGCGUGAGUGACGGUAAUGGGUAAAGAAGCACCGGCUAACUACGUG